RNAcentral lists this unclassified non-coding RNA (433 nucleotides) under soil metagenome. Its description in RNAcentral is "partial contains 5.8S ribosomal RNA, internal transcribed spacer 2, and large subunit ribosomal RNA". The stretch from base 1 to 120 matches the Rfam family "5.8S ribosomal RNA", at positions 35 to 154 of the family's 154-position model. The record is from RNAcentral.
GAUGAAGAACGGAGCGAAAUGCGAUACGUAAUGUGAAUUGCAGAAUUCAGUGAAUCAUCGAAUCUUUGAACGCAUAUUGCGCUCUCUGGUAUUCCGGAGAGCAUGCUUGUUUGAGUAUCAGUAAACACCUCAACUUCCAUAUUUUUUUUUGAAAUGGGAGUUGGACUUGAGUGAUCCCAACGCUUUUCCUCACCGAAAAGUGGCGGGUUACUUGAAAUGCAGGUGCAGCUGGACUUUUCUCUGAGCUAUAAGCAUAUCUAUUUAGUCUGCCUAAAAAACAGAUUAUUACCUUUGCUGCAGCUAACAUAACGGAGAUUAGUUCUUGUGCUGACUGAUGCAGGAUUCACAAAGACAGCUUCGGCCGACUUUGUAAACUCGAUCUCAAAUCAAGUAAGACUACCCGCUGAACUUAAGCAUAUCAAUAAGCGGAGGA